AGAUUGAACGCUGGCGGCAGGCCUAACACAUGCAAGUCGAGCGGUAGAGAGGUGCUUGCAUCUCUUGAGAGCGGCGGACGGGUGAGUAAUGCCUAGGAAUCUGCCUAGUGGUGGGGGAUAACGUUCGGAAACGGACGCUAAUACCGCAUACGUCCUACGGGAGAAAGCGGGGGACCUUCGGGCCUCGCGCCAUUAGAUGAGCCUAGGUCGGAUUAGCUAGUUGGUGAGGUAAUGGCUCACCAAGGCGACGAUCCGUAACUGGUCUGAGAGGAUGAUCAGUCACGCUGGAACUGAGACACGGUCCAGACUCCGUACGGGAGGCAGCAGUGGGGAAUAGUUGGACAAGUGGGACAAAGCCUGAU
This 362-nucleotide ribosomal RNA is filed under the name uncultured soil bacterium. RNAcentral's name for it is "bacterial SSU rRNA". It matches the Rfam family "Bacterial small subunit ribosomal RNA", at positions 26 to 387 of the family's 1533-position model. The record is from RNAcentral.